CCUACGGUCUCUGCCGUGGGGAAUAUUGGACAAUGGGCGAAAGCCUGAUCCAGCCAUGCCGCGUGUGUGAAGAAGGCCUUCGGGUUGUAAAGCACUUUCAGUGGGGGAGAAAGCCUUGGGGCUAAUACCCUCGAGGAAGGACAUCACCCACAGAAGAAGCACCGGCUAACUCCGUGCCAGCAGCCGCGGUAAUACGGAGGGUGCGAGCGUUAAUCGGAAUUACUGGGCGGAAAGCGCGCGUAGGCGGUCUGAUAAGCCGGUUGUGAAAGCCCCGGGCUCAACCUGGGAACGGCAUCCGGAACUGUCAGGCUAGAGUGCAGGAGAGGAAGGUAGAAUUCCCGGUGUAGCGGUGAAAUGCGUAGAGAUCGGGAGGAAUACCAGUGGCGAAGGCGGCCUUCUGGACUGACACUGACGCUGAGGUGCGAAAGCGUGGGUAGCAAACAGGAUUAGAUACCCCAGUAGUC
This 464-nucleotide ribosomal RNA is filed under the name Vreelandella stevensii. RNAcentral's name for it is "partial 16S ribosomal RNA". It matches the Rfam family "Bacterial small subunit ribosomal RNA", at positions 338 to 795 of the family's 1533-position model. The record is from RNAcentral. Lineage: Bacteria; Pseudomonadati; Pseudomonadota; Gammaproteobacteria; Oceanospirillales; Halomonadaceae.